UCCCAGACUCCUACGGGAGGCAGCAGUGGGGAAUAUUGGGCAAUGGAGGAAACUCUUACCCAGCAAUGCCGCGUGAAUGAAGAAGGUCUUCGGAUUGUAAAGUUCUUUAAUUGGGGACGAAAAAAAUGACGGUACCCAAGGAAUAAGCCCCGGCUAACUACGUGCCAGCAGCCGCGGUAAUACGUAGGGGGCAAGCGUUGUUCGGAAUGACUGGGCGUAAAGGGUGCGUAGGCGGUGUAGCAAGUUAGAAGUGAAAACCAUGGGCUCAACCUGUGGCCUGCAUUUGAAACUGUUUUUCUUGAGUACUGGAGAGGCAGACGGAAUUCCUAGUGUAGCGGUGAAAUGCGUAGAUAUUAGGAGGAACACCAGUGGCGAAGGCGGUCUGCUGGACAGCAACUGACGCUGAGGCGCGAAAGCGUGGGGAGCAAACAGGAUUAGAUACCCUUGUA
RNAcentral lists this ribosomal RNA (449 nucleotides) under uncultured bacterium. RNAcentral describes it as "partial 16S ribosomal RNA". It matches the Rfam family "Bacterial small subunit ribosomal RNA", at positions 329 to 792 of the family's 1533-position model. The record is from RNAcentral.